RNAcentral lists this ribosomal RNA (468 nucleotides) under uncultured bacterium. RNAcentral's name for it is "partial 16S ribosomal RNA". It matches the Rfam family "Bacterial small subunit ribosomal RNA", at positions 28 to 507 of the family's 1533-position model. The record is from RNAcentral.
GACGAACGCUGGCGGCGUGCUUAACACAUGCAAGUCGAACGGAAAGGCCCUGCUUUUGUGGGGUGCUCGAGUGGCGAACGGGUGAGUAACAAGUGAGUAACCUGCCCUUGACUUUGGGAUAACUUCAGGAAACUGGGGCUAAUACCGGAUAGGAGCUCCUGCUGCAUGGUGGGGGUUGGAAAGUUUCGGCGGUUGGGGAUGGACUCGCGGCUUAUCAGCUUGUUGGUGGGGUAGUGGCUUACCAAGGCUUUGACGGGUAGCCGGCCUGAGAGGGUGACCGGCCACAUUGGAACUGAGAUACGGCCCAGACUCCUACGGGAGGCAGCAGUGGGGAAUAUUGCACAAUGGGCGGAAGCCUGAUGCAGCAACGCCGCGUGCGGGAUGACGGCCUUCGGGUUGUAAACCGCUUUCGCCUGUGACGAAGCGUGAGUGACGGUAAUGGGUAAAGAAGCACCGGCUAACUACGUG